Molecule: ribosomal RNA, 253 nt
Filed under: uncultured bacterium
Lineage: Bacteria
Description: partial 16S ribosomal RNA
Rfam family: Bacterial small subunit ribosomal RNA
Source: RNAcentral
UACGGGGGGGGUAAGCGUUGUUCGGAAUUACUGGGCGUAAAGGGCUCGUAGGCGGCCAACUAAGUCGGACGUGAAAUCCCUCAGCUUAACUGGGGAACUGCGUCCGAUACUGGAUGGCUUGGAUUUGGGAGAGGGAUGCGGAACUCCAGGUGUAGCGGUGAAAUGCGUAGAUAUCUGGAGGAACACCGGUGGCGAAGGCGGCAUCCUGGACCAACACUGACACUGAGGAGCGAAAGCCAGGGGAGCAAACGGG